GACGAACCGUGCGAACGUUAUUCGGAAUCACUGGGCUUAAAGGGUGCGUAGGCUGCGAGGAGGGUGGGGUGUGAAAUCCCUCGGCUCAACCGAGGAAUUGCGCUCCAAACCGCCUUGCUGGAGUGAGACAGAGGUGAGCGGAACUAAUGGUGGAGCGGUGAAAUGCGUUGAUAUCAUUAGGAACACCAGAGGCGAAGGCGGCUCACUGGGUCUCAACUGACGCUGAGGCACGAAAGCGUGGGGAGCAAACAGG
This 253-nucleotide ribosomal RNA is filed under the name uncultured bacterium. RNAcentral's name for it is "partial 16S ribosomal RNA". It matches the Rfam family "Bacterial small subunit ribosomal RNA", at positions 524 to 776 of the family's 1533-position model. The record is from RNAcentral.